AUUGAACGCUGGCGGCAUGCCUUACACAUGCAAGUCGAACGGUAACAGGUCUUCGGAUGCUGACGAGUGGCGAACGGGUGAGUAAUACAUCGGAACGUGCCCGAUCGUGGGGGAUAACGGAGCGAAAGCUUUGCUAAUACCGCAUACGAUCUACGGCUGAAAGCAGGGGACCGCAAGGCCUUGCGCGGACGGAGCGGCCGAUGGCAGAUUAGGUAGUUGGUGGGAUAAAAGCUUACCAAGCCGACGAUCUGUAGCUGGUCUGAGAGGACGACCAGCCACACUGGGACUGAGACACGGCCCAGACUCCUACGGGAGGCAGCAGUGGGGAAUUUUGGACAAUGGGCGAAAGCCUGAUCCAGCCAUGCCGCGUGCAGGAUGAAGGCCUUCGGGUUGUAAACUGCUUUUGUACGGAACGAAAAGACUCUUUCUAAUAAAGAGGGUCCAUGACGGUACCGUAAGAAUAAGCACCGGCUAACUACGUG
This 482-nucleotide ribosomal RNA is filed under the name uncultured bacterium. RNAcentral describes it as "partial 16S ribosomal RNA". It matches the Rfam family "Bacterial small subunit ribosomal RNA", at positions 30 to 507 of the family's 1533-position model. The record is from RNAcentral.